UAGGGAAUCUUCGGCAAUGGACGAAAGUCUGACCGAGCAACGCCGCGUGAGUGAAGAAGGUUUUCGGAUCGUAAAACUCUGUUGGUAGAGAAGAACGUUGGUGAGAGUGGAAAGCUCAUCAAGUGACGGUAACUACCCAGAAAGGGACGGCUAACUACGUGCCAGCAGCCGCGGUAAUACGUAGGUCCCGAGCGUUGUCCGGAUUUAUUGGACGUAAAGCGAGCGCAUGUGGUUUAUUAAGUCUGGUGUAAAAGGCAGUGGCUCAACCAUUGUAUGCAUUGGAAACUUGUAGACUUGAGUGCAGGAGAGGAGAGUGGAAUUCCAUGUGUAGCGGUGAAAUGCGUAGAUAUAUGGAGGAACACCGGUGGCGAAAGCGGCUCUCUGGCCUGUAACUGACACUGAGGCUCGAAAGCGUGGGGAGCAAACA
RNAcentral lists this ribosomal RNA (427 nucleotides) under uncultured bacterium. Its description in RNAcentral is "partial 16S ribosomal RNA". It matches the Rfam family "Bacterial small subunit ribosomal RNA", at positions 355 to 774 of the family's 1533-position model. The record is from RNAcentral.